AGAGUGAUAAAAAGGUCCAUCCUAUCAGAUCAGAGUGAUAAAAAGGUCCAUCCUAUCAGAUCAGAGUGAUAAAAAGGUCCAUCCUAUCAGAUCAGAGUGAUAAAAAGGUCCAUCCUAUCAGAUCAGAGUGAUAAAAAGGUCCAUCCUAUCAGAUCAGAGUGAUAAAAAGGUCCAUCCUAUCAGAUCAGAGUGAUAAAAAGGUCCAUCCUAUCAGAUCAGAGUGAUAAAAAGGUCCAUCCUAUCAGAUCAGAGUGAUAAAAAGGUCCAUCCUAUCAGAUCAGAGUGAUAAAAAGGUCCAUCCUAUCAGAUCAGAGUGAUAAAAAGGUCCAUCCUAUCAGAUCAGAGUGAUAAAAAGGUCCAUCCUAUCAGAUCAGAGUGAUAAAAAGGUCCAUCCUAUAAAGCUUUCCAGACUAUAGAUGGUGUUGUUUAAAUAUCAGCAGAAGAAACUCAGUCAAGAACA
Long non-coding RNA from Oncorhynchus keta (chum salmon), 460 nucleotides. RefSeq lists it as uncharacterized. The transcript has 4 exons. The record is from RefSeq and is a predicted model, not a curated record. NCBI's taxonomy places the organism in Eukaryota, Metazoa, Chordata, Actinopteri, Salmoniformes, Salmonidae.